GAUGAACGCUGGCGGCGUGCCUAAUACAUGCAAGUCGAGCGGAUGGAUUAAGAGCUUGCUCUUAUGAAGUUAGCGGCGGACAGGUGAGUAACACGUGGGUAACCUGCCCAUAAGACUGGGAUAACUCCGGGAAACCGGGGCUAAUACCGGAUAACAUUUUGAACCGCAUGGUUCGAAAUUGAAAGGCGGCUUCGGCUGUCACUUAUGGAUGGACCCGCGUCGCAUUAGCUAGUUGGUGAGGUAACGGCUCACCAAGGCAACGAUGCGUAGCCGACCUGAGAGGGUGAUCGGCCACACUGGGACUGAGACACGGCCCAGACUCCUACGGGAGGCAGCAGUAGGGAAUCUUCCGCAAUGGACGAAAGUCUGACGGAGCAACGCCGCGUGAGUGAUGAAGGCUUUCGGGUCGUAAAACUCUGUUGUUAGGGAAGAACAAGUGCUAGUUGAAUAAGCUGGCACCUUGACGGUACCUAACCAGAAAGCCACGGCUAACUACGUGCCAGCCGCCGCCGUAA
Molecule: ribosomal RNA, 515 nt
Filed under: uncultured bacterium
Lineage: Bacteria
Description: partial 16S ribosomal RNA
Rfam family: Bacterial small subunit ribosomal RNA
Source: RNAcentral